This is a non-coding RNA of Labrus bergylta (ballan wrasse), 400 nucleotides long. The record is from RefSeq and is a predicted model, not a curated record. NCBI's taxonomy places the organism in Eukaryota, Metazoa, Chordata, Actinopteri, Labriformes, Labridae.
GGUGUCUGACCUCUGAGCGCAGCCGAGGGAGAGCAGGAGGACUAGAAGGGUGAGAUAGGUGUUGGCCGACUGUCCCAUACUGCAAAGGCAAGAAGACAGCUUUAGAUCAUUAUCUGUCUUUAUCAGAUAGAACAGCUGAAGAGAAAUGUCGGGAGGAGAGAGAAGGGGAUGACAGGCAGCGAAGGACUGAGGUUAAAGGGAAAGACAAAGCUGCAUCGCUUCCUGCCCGUCUUCUGUGUUACACUCUGGUGAAAUGGGUCAUUGUCGGCGUGGCGUUUGACCUUGGAGCUGUUGGGUAGAAGAAAACAAUGAGAGAAGGAACAUCAGUAUAAAAGGAAGAGGAGCAGCCUGAGCUCAGCAGCUGUCCUGAAACAGCAUCACUUUGCCAUCAUGUUGUUGC